UCAAACCACCAAGUCGACACGGUCAAAUGCGGCCAUUAUUCUCGCGUGCUCCUACCCGUCUCUGGCGUUUCAAUGAGCCUGGAGUGAAGUGCCUGGCUAGGCGCGACGGCCCUCAUCAUCUGGAAAGUCCAAACAAUUGACAAUACCAUCCUCUGCCACUGCUGGGUGGCUCCCACUCACCCCCAGCGCCCAACGGCACCCAAUGGCAACCCAACUGGACAAUCGGCCAAAGAGUUGAAGAGAAUGCGGCAGAAGCUGAGACACGUGCUAAAACAGAAAGUUGCUACUUUAAAUCAUCAUAUCAACCGCCUGGAGGACUCUCCAAAAUCCCGGAUGUCCUUUACUGAAGAGAAUAUCAGGGACAUCCGGUUCCAUUUCCGGGAGGUCCAGAAGCUCCUGAAAUUCGAUAAUUGAGAAGUUCGCUUAUUUUUCCACAAUUCCCCCGUCGUUCCUCAUCCAAAACUUGCCCGUUUGCCUCUAUUACCGGUUUCUUUCCAUUUUUUCAGUUUCAUGUACAAUAAAUCCUUUCUCAC
Caenorhabditis elegans is the source of this 533-nucleotide long non-coding RNA. Ensembl annotates it as ncRNA. Its record names the gene linc-63. NCBI's taxonomy places the organism in Eukaryota, Metazoa, Nematoda, Chromadorea, Rhabditida, Rhabditidae. The record is from Ensembl.